Molecule: ribosomal RNA, 253 nt
Filed under: uncultured bacterium
Lineage: Bacteria
Description: partial 16S ribosomal RNA
Rfam family: Bacterial small subunit ribosomal RNA
Source: RNAcentral
UACGUAGGUAGCAAGCGUUGUCCGGAUUUACUGGGCGUAAAGGGCGCGCAGGCGGUCGUUCAAGUCGCGUGUGAAAGCCCCCGGCUCAACUGGGGAGGGUCACGCGAUACUGAUCGACUCGAAGGCAGGAGAGGGUAGUGGAAUUCCCGGUGUAGUGGUGAAAUGCGUAGAUAUCGGGAGGAACACCAGUGGCGAAGGCGACUACCUGGCCUGUUCUUGACGCUGAGGCGCGAAAGCUAGGGGAGCAAACGGG